GGGAUGGAGAGACUGGGGUCUUUUGUGCUCUAAUUGGAGUAAAUGUUCCGAUGAUGCAAGUAAAUGUCUGUGGGAGAGAUCGCUUAUCUGUUUGCCUUAUCUUAACACACGCUUAAAAAUAGGAAGAGGAUGAGAAGGUCAGCUCAUCCAGGUGGGGGAAAGGGCAGGGGGGGCAGAAGUCAGAGGGCACGGGCACGAAAGCAAAGCGACUUAGAAGGGGAUGUCCCGAACCUGAAGGAUGUAACUCAGCGUUCCGUUGGUGCCAGAGGGACUCGGAGGCUGAAAUCUUUGCGCUCCAAGGGUUGUGAGGCUGAGCGCUGCAAAACAGUCUCCUUGCAGAGCUCGCGAUGCUACCGGCACCGCACGGUUUGGUGCUUCUUUGCGCAAGGCCUUCCCUAUCAAUAUCACUUCAAGCCCGGGCCUUCUGCCCUGCAAACCAAGCACCGCUUCAGGGCGCUCCUAAAGGAGGAAAAACUCCAACAGCUUCUGAAAUACUCCCUUUACACUUUGAACCAGAAAAAGAUACGGAUGGGAGGAGCCCAGCGAGCUCUUCGUCCGCACGGGAGCUCUGGAAUAAUUCAGGAUCAUAAAACAAGCGGGCUUCCUGAAGGUAGAAGUGACGGUGUAACCACCGCUCUCCCUCUCCCAGCGCACGCCCACUCCUGCAAGCUGUUCCUUUAUACCGGUUGUCUCUUUGCUAAUAAGCUUUGAAAAGCAAGUUCGUUAAUGUGCUGACUGCCAGACUGCGCUUUAACGAGCCUUUCUCAAUGCCUCCUAUCUUAUCUCGAGCUCGAUAAGGACAAAACGUUCCAGUGACAAUGCUAUAAAUCACAUUUUAUUGAUGCAUCUCAAUAUGGAAUAGCCGCUGCGGUUUGAUGGUGUCUGUUUGCUUUGGAAGCGGCCGUGUCGUACAAACACAGCCCCGGGAGGCUUGCUGGUGACGGAGGGGGGUCUGGGGAAGGUUUCUCUUGAGUUAGCUGUGAGGAUAAGUCAUUUCUUAGGGGAAUUCUUCUGCCGGUUGGGUUAAUUAACAUGAUAAUGUGUUGUUUCAUUAGCUACAUCUUUCAUGGGAAAUAUGAGUGCUUCCUUCAUAACAAGGAGAAAACAUUUCACUUGUUUUUCUUUUUUUUCAUGACACUGCUGAGAAUUUAGGGAAAACUUCCUUGAAAGGGGCUAAAAGUGCUACAUAGAAAGACACUGUUUGGCUUUGUUUUAAGUGCUGUUACCAAUCAUGAGCAUCAGUCCUAAUCUUGUAAACCCUUUUUGCACAUCCCUCGACACUUUCAAAACAAGGUUAUGUCGUGGAACAGACUCCACUUGCCAGCAUCUCAGUAGCAUUCUGUGCAGGGAAGGGGAAACAGGGAUGUUUGUCAGCACUGAGAAUAGAAUUUCUAUCUGACAGAUCUAGGAGUGAAUACCAGCAGUCCGAGCUGACCUGUGCUGAGAUUGUUGGGUUUUCGGUCAUGGUACUCCUGGAAGGACGUAGGAAUUCAAGGAUAGGUUGGAUGGGGCCAUGGGCAGCCUGAUCUGGUGUUUGGCACCCUUGGUUGGAGCUGCAUGAUCUUUAAGGCCCCUUCCAACCGAAGCCAUUCUGUGAUUUUAUGAAUCCAGCUGUGGGCCUCUGCUAUUGCUAGCCUGCAUAGCAGGGCAGUGGAAUUCUGGUCGGAUUCCUUGUUAGUUUAUGUGAUUACUCUGUGUGCCAAGACUAGACGAUGGUGGGAUCCAAGCUGCUGUUUUCAAAGAUGAAGAAAUAAUCAGCCCUUGGGGAUUCACCAGCAAAGUCAUGGCUGUGUCCUACAGAAAGUCCUUGCACCUCUUUGUGCCUUAGGUUGCCCCUGUGCAUGUUACAUCCUUCGCUUGGGAAAGCAAUCAGCAACCCACCGACGCUCUGCUGCUGCAGGUGAGGUGACCCAGGUGGGUUUCAGUUAAAUAAUCACAUUUCUCAUUCAACAGGUUGACAAACAGCCCUGCAAUAUUUCCCAGCACCGAACCGGUAGCACCACAUCACGCCAACAUUUGGGGCGCCUGGGAGGAGCACGAGGUGGAGCAGGAGCACCAGGUCGGAGCCCACGCUUCGUAAAUAAUCGAUUCUUUGUUCAAGACAGCAGUGGGGAGGCUGAGUGCC
Molecule: long non-coding RNA, 2125 nt
Organism: Gallus gallus (chicken)
Lineage: Eukaryota; Metazoa; Chordata; Aves; Galliformes; Phasianidae
Source: Ensembl